RNAcentral lists this ribosomal RNA (403 nucleotides) under uncultured bacterium. RNAcentral describes it as "bacterial SSU rRNA". It matches the Rfam family "Bacterial small subunit ribosomal RNA", at positions 355 to 774 of the family's 1533-position model. The record is from RNAcentral.
UGAGGAAUAUUGCACAAUGGGCGCAAGCCUGAUGCAGCAACGCCGCGUGCGGGACGAAGGCCUUCGGGUCGUAAACCGCUUUUCUGGGGGAAGAGCAAGGACGGUACCUCAGGAAUAAGUCUCAGCUAACUACGUGCCAGCAGCCGCGGUAAAACGUAGGAGGCGAGCGUUAUCCGGAUUUACUGGGCGUAAAGCGCGUGCAGGCGGAUUGGAGAGUUGGAUGUGAAAGCUCCCGGCCUAACUGGGAGAGGUCGUUCAAUACUUCCAGUCUUGAGUGCAGUAGAGGGAAGUGGAAUUCCGGGUGUAGUGGUGAAAUGCGUAGAUAUCCGGAGGAACACCAGUGGCGAAAGCGGCUUCCUGGACUGUAACUGACGCUCAGACGCGAAAGCUAGGGUAGCAAACG